ACACUUGCAAGCCAGGGAAGGCUCCGAAGCCCGCCGGCGGCGAACCCUGCAGGCUGAGAAGCCUGCCUAGACAAACUUUGAAUUCUGCUCAUCUGAAAAUUUACAACAGAGAAUUCAACAGAGACAGAAGGUGGAUUAGAGGGUGCCUCUGGCCAGGCUUCUAAAACGACGCCAAAGAAGUGAAAUGCAGAGACAUGCUCAGGCUCAGGCUGGAGUUGUGGAUGUGGAGGAAUGUCCUGAAUCAGGCACAGAAGCCAGGCCACCCUCUCACUCAAGCAUAAGCACAGAAGGAAGUGCAAGCACAAGUAUAAGCCCCUGUGUGAGGACAAGCUCAAGUACUCCAUCUACAGAUACUACAACAUCUACAGAUAUUACAACUACACCAGCAGCAACCCCUACAUCUGGACAGGGGUAUGUGAUAGAUCCAAAAAACAUGCUUGAGCCCCAGGACAUGGAAUUUGAAGUGGGUCCAGAAUUUGUCCUUAUUGACAGCCAAGACGAACAGGCCUCUCUGGAACAAGGAGAAUUCACUGAAGCAGAUGUGAAGAAGCCCUUGGAAGAGACAAAGGUCUCCAUUAUUAAAGAAGAUGUAAUUGAUGAAGAUUCUGCACGUCAGGGUGCCUCUUCAGAUGAUGAUGACGACAGCUGUAUAAUAAUAGAAGAUACUGAAGACAACAAAGACCCUAAGAUCCAAGAAGCCACUAAGGUCCAAGAACAAGGAGAUCAAAAGGCACCUGACGCUGUCCCAUCACGUCCAACCACACCAUUGCGGGCUGUGCGCCCCGAGGCUGUGGUGGAACCCAUACCAAGGAGAACAUAUCAAUUCCAUCGUCCGCUUUUGGGGGAAAGGUUUGCUCAACUCAGUGGCCCACGAGUAAUGACACAGGUGUAUGACUUGAGUAUCAGCAGGUCCUUCCACGAUGAGCUGCCUUCUUACAUAGAUAUGGAAGAGGAGGACAGAGAACAAGAGCAAUGUGAAUAUGAGUUGGCCCAGCGUAUUGAGUUGCUUCGAAACUUACCAUAUGAACGUCCGGGGCAGCAACAAAGUGGGCAAGGACCUCGUGUAUAUCGUCCACGAGAGCAGAUGGUGACUGUUAUUGAUGACCUGGGGCCACGCGCCAUGAAUUUUUUUGGAAAUAGCAACUCUGAAUAUUCACAAAGUGAGAUGCAUAGACGUUGGGAGACUCCUGUUGAUCAUGCUCCUCCACUUCUGCAUCACUCAUCAAGAUCAUGCCAAGAAAUGGCAGCAUCACAUCAAGCAUUGGCAGCACCAUGCCAAGCAUCUUUACCAUCAUGUCAAGUAUCUUUACCAUCAUGUCAAGUAUCUUUACCGUCACGUCAAGUAUCUUUACCGUCAUGCCAAGCAUCUUUACCGUCGUGCCAAGCAUCUGCACUAUCUCGUCAAGCAUCAGCAGUGUCACGUCAACCUUCGACAACUUCACGUCAAGUAUCAGUGUCACAACAAGUAGCAGCAGCAGCAUGUUACCCCUCAGCAAUGCCACAUAACGCCUCUUCUGACCACGGAAGAGAGAACAGGCCACGCUUUCUGCCCCCUGGACAAGAUCACGCCGGUUACUUUCAGGCUGAAGAGGACACCAAUCCUCACCCAUGAGGGGAAGAUGGGGCUUAAGACAGACCUCCAUGGUCUGUAUGGGAAAGGGACAUGCAAAAUGGGCAGAGUCCCUUGAUGGGAGAGGGGGGUGGGUUAUAUUACUUUACCUGUAAAUUGUUUGCAGUUAUUCUUAAGCAUAGUUUGUGGAGAUAAUGCUGCAGAAGUAGACUGUUAGAUCCAACUUGGUGUGUGAUAACAAGUGUUCCCUGGCCCCUGCUUGCCAAACACCACUUUGUGUAUAUGCAUAUGUGUUUUCAUUGUGGCAAGCUGACUUUAGUGGGCAGAAUGUCAGGGCCCUAUAUAUUUUCCUGACAAUGUUUAAAAUAGUACAAAGCUGUACAAUGCACGGGGGGAAAAGCGGUUCUAUCAUGCCCUUCCCCCAAAUUCUGGGGCCUUGUUUUUUGAUGUAUUUCUACCUCUCUUCUGUAGCCCCAUGAUACUUCAUACCCUAUGUUAAAUGGGUAUCCAAUUGUGAGAAACUAAUAUCUGUUCAAAACAGUGUACAUCUUUACUUAAUAAACACUAUGCUUCACUAC
This 2148-nucleotide long non-coding RNA is filed under the name Mus musculus (house mouse). Its description in RNAcentral is "PAS domain containing repressor 1 (Pasd1)". The record is from RNAcentral. Lineage: Eukaryota; Metazoa; Chordata; Mammalia; Rodentia; Muridae.